This 384-nucleotide unclassified non-coding RNA is filed under the name Hevea brasiliensis (rubber tree). Lineage: Eukaryota; Viridiplantae; Streptophyta; Magnoliopsida; Malpighiales; Euphorbiaceae. The record is from RNAcentral.
UAAACAGACUUGCAACCAGGCCAGGUAGAGUGACAAAUGCUUUGCUGACUCAAGGUUCAUAUUAGAGAAAGGAGAAUGAGGUUGUAAGAUUUCAAACUCAGCCCGAUCAUCCAAUUUACUCCAACAGAAAGAAUAAGUAUUUACUAUUUUUUAUCAUUAUAAAAAAUUUGAUCAUAUAACAAACUAAUUUGGAAAACUGAUAUUUUGUUAUUAAGAAGUUUUAAUAGGACCAUCUCAGUCCAAAUUAAAAAAGUCAAAAUAGCUAUCAUCUGAUAGGAAAAAGCUUCACUUUGGAGCUUUUAAAAUCAGCUAAUAUUGGGUGCUCCAACAAACAAAUAUCAGCUGCCGAUAUUUUGAUUUGUUGACCUAGCUGUUGGAGGUCAA